CUCACUUAUUCUUACAUCCAACGGCCAGAGUUUUUUUCCUAGUGAGCAGAAAAAAGAAAAAAAAAAAAGAAAAAAUCGCACCGAUGAGAAAAGCUGAAAUUAGGGUUUUUCGGUUCCUAUAAAACUAAGAGAACCCCAAAAGCUCUGAUUUCCAUUUUCAAUUUCAAUACCUCUCUCUCUAUUUGUUAUUGUUUUUAAGUUUUUGCAGAGAUCAAUCAUGGGAAAGGGUCCCGGUCUCUACACUGAAAUCGGCAAGAAAGCCAGAGAUCUUCUUUACAAGGACUAUCAGACGGAUCAAAAGUUCACCAUCACUACCUACUCACCUACUGGAGUCGCCAUUACAUCUACAGGUGUAAAGAAAGGUGACCUGUUUCUGGCAGAUGUCAAUACUCAGCUGAAGAACAAGAAUAUCACUACUGAUGUCAAAGUGGA
RNAcentral lists this unclassified non-coding RNA (432 nucleotides) under Hevea brasiliensis (rubber tree). The record is from RNAcentral. Lineage: Eukaryota; Viridiplantae; Streptophyta; Magnoliopsida; Malpighiales; Euphorbiaceae.